AUUGAACGCUGGCGGCAUGCCUUACACAUGCAAGUCGAACGGCAGCACGGGAGCAAUCCUGGUGGCGAGUGGCGAACGGGUGAGUAAUAUAUCGGAACGUGCCCAGUCGUGGGGGAUAACGUAGCGAAAGCUACGCUAAUACCGCAUACGAUCUAUGGAUGAAAGCGGGGGAUCGCAAGACCUCGCGCGAUUGGAGCGGCCGAUAUCAGAUUAGGUAGUUGGUGAGGUAAAGGCUCACCAAGCCGACGAUCUGUAGCUGGUCUGAGAGGACGACCAGCCACACUGGGACUGAGACACGGCCCAGACUCCUACGGGAGGCAGCAGUGGGGAAUUUUUGGGACAAUGGGCGCAAGCCUGAUCC
RNAcentral lists this ribosomal RNA (361 nucleotides) under uncultured bacterium. RNAcentral describes it as "bacterial SSU rRNA". It matches the Rfam family "Bacterial small subunit ribosomal RNA", at positions 30 to 389 of the family's 1533-position model. The record is from RNAcentral.